GGGCGGGUAGCUCAGCUGGUUAGAGCGGCGGUCUUACACACCGUAGGUCGCAGGUUCGAAUCCUGUCCUGCCCA
This 74-nucleotide transfer RNA is filed under the name Myxococcales bacterium LLY-WYZ-16_1. Its description in RNAcentral is "tRNA-Val". It matches the Rfam family "tRNA". Rfam says of the family: Transfer RNA (tRNA) molecules are approximately 80 nucleotides in length. Their secondary structure includes four short double-helical elements and three loops (D, anti-codon, and T loops). The record is from RNAcentral. Lineage: Bacteria; Pseudomonadati; Myxococcota; Myxococcia; Myxococcales.